UACGGGGGGGGCAAGCGUUGUUCGGAAUUACUGGGCGUAAAGGGCUCGUAGGCGGCCAACUAAGUCGGACGUGAAAUCCCCAGGCUCAACCUGGGAACUGCGUCCGAUACUGGCAGGCUUGAAUCCGGGAGAGGGAUGUGGAAUUCCAGGUGUAGCGGUGAAAUGCGUAGAUAUCUGGAGGAACACCGGUGGCGAAGGCGGCAUCCUGGACCGGUAUUGACGCUGAGGCGCGAAAGCCAGGGGAGCAAACGGG
Molecule: ribosomal RNA, 253 nt
Filed under: uncultured bacterium
Lineage: Bacteria
Description: partial 16S ribosomal RNA
Rfam family: Bacterial small subunit ribosomal RNA
Source: RNAcentral